RNAcentral lists this transfer RNA (76 nucleotides) under Gammaproteobacteria bacterium. RNAcentral describes it as "tRNA-Thr". It matches the Rfam family "tRNA". From Rfam's summary of the family: Transfer RNA (tRNA) molecules are approximately 80 nucleotides in length. Their secondary structure includes four short double-helical elements and three loops (D, anti-codon, and T loops). Lineage: Bacteria; Pseudomonadati; Pseudomonadota; Gammaproteobacteria. RNAcentral also lists the same sequence under 4 other names. The record is from RNAcentral.
GCCGGAAUAGCUCAGUCGGUAGAGCACUUCACUCGUAAUGAAGGGGUCGGAGGUUCGAUUCCUCUUUCCGGCACCA